UACGGGAGGCAGCAGUGGGGAAUAUUGCACAAUGGGGGAAACCCUGAUGCAGCGACGCCGCGUGAGCGAAGAAGUAUUUCGGUAUGUAAAGCUCUAUCAGCAGGGAAGAAAAUGACGGUACCUGACUAAGAAGCCCCGGCUAACUACGUGCCAGCAGCCGCGGUAAUACGUAGGGGGCAAGCGUUAUCCGGAUUUACUGGGUGUAAAGGGAGCGUAGACGGAGCAGCAAGUCUGAUGUGAAAACCCGGGGCUCAACCCCGGGACUGCAUUGGAAACUGUUGAUCUGGAGUGCCGGAGAGGUAAGCGGAAUUCCUAGUGUAGCGGUGAAAUGCGUAGAUAUUAGGAGGAACACCAGUGGCGAAGGCGGCUUACUGGACGGUAACUGACGUUGAGGCUCGAAAGCGUGGGGAGCAAACAGGAUUAGAUACCCUGGUAGUCCACGCCGUAAACGAUGACUACUAGGUGUCGGGUGGCAAAGCCAUUCGGUGCCGCAGCCAACGCAAUAAGUAGUCCACCUGGGGAGUACGUUCGCAAGAAUGAAACUCAAAGGAAUUGACGG
RNAcentral lists this ribosomal RNA (559 nucleotides) under uncultured bacterium. RNAcentral's name for it is "bacterial SSU rRNA". It matches the Rfam family "Bacterial small subunit ribosomal RNA", at positions 340 to 916 of the family's 1533-position model. The record is from RNAcentral.